AUCCAGGUGACGAGUCCCAAAUAGGACGAAACGCGCAUCCUGGAU
This is a non-coding RNA of Schistosoma mansoni, 45 nucleotides long. The record is from Rfam. NCBI's taxonomy places the organism in Eukaryota, Metazoa, Platyhelminthes, Trematoda, Strigeidida, Schistosomatidae.